GUACCACUCCUCCACGGGCCGUGAAGGGCCUGCAGUAUAUACAAAUAAAAAAAAAAAACAUCCCAUACUCGUUUCGCUAAUGCGGCAUUAAAACUUCAAACAAACUAACUUCUUGCUCGGAACUUGCGCGACGGCGCAACCACGCGGAGGAACACGGCCAGGCGCACGCAGGCCCGAUUUCUGUGGUGAUUUCGGAUGUGCGAGCAGCCGAGGCUUCGUCUCGGGUUUCAUUAUUUCCCGUGUUUUUCGCUGCUGCAAGGUCCAACCGCGCAGCGUUGGGGAUUCUCCGACUCCUGUCAAAGGAUUGCACGAUUGUGCACGGACACACCCCAACACAGAGCUCAAUGGACAUGGACAAAGAAGACUUACUGCCAUGCAACUACUGUCGGGGUGAAUUACACGGACGAGGAGAGUGAGCCGGUGCAACAACGUCCUGUGGUGCAACCAUGCGCUCCUGAGAGAAUGCCUGAACAGACAGACGCUGACUCAUGGUACUGGCUGCAAUC
Long non-coding RNA from Dermacentor andersoni, 506 nucleotides. RefSeq lists it as uncharacterized. NCBI's taxonomy places the organism in Eukaryota, Metazoa, Arthropoda, Arachnida, Ixodida, Ixodidae. The record is from RefSeq and is a predicted model, not a curated record.